RNAcentral lists this transfer RNA (71 nucleotides) under Marmota monax (woodchuck). RNAcentral's name for it is "tRNA.Ser". Lineage: Eukaryota; Metazoa; Chordata; Mammalia; Rodentia; Sciuridae. The record is from RNAcentral.
GGGGUGCAGCUCAGUUUGUAGAGUGCUUGCCUUGAAUGUACAAGAACCUAGGUUCAAUCCCCAGUACCACA